RNAcentral lists this ribosomal RNA (607 nucleotides) under uncultured bacterium. RNAcentral describes it as "bacterial SSU rRNA". The stretch from base 1 to 518 matches the Rfam family "Bacterial small subunit ribosomal RNA", at positions 338 to 873 of the family's 1533-position model. The record is from RNAcentral.
CCUACGGGAGGCAGCAGUGGGGAAUAUUGGACAAUGGGCGAAAGCCUGAUCCAGCAAUGCCGCGUGAGUGAUGAAGGCCUUAGGGUUGUAAAGCUCUUUUACCAGGGAUGAUAAUGACAGUACCUGGAGAAUAAGCUCCGGCUAACUCCGUGCCAGCAGCCGCGGUAAUACGGAGGGAGCUAGCGUUGUUCGGAAUUACUGGGCGUAAAGCGUACGUAGGCGGUUAUUCAAGUCAGAGGUGAAAGCCUGGAGCUCAACUCCAGAACUGCCUUUGAAACUAGAUAGCUAGAAUCACGGAGAGGUUAGUGGAAUUCCGAGUGUAGAGGUGAAAUUCGUAGAUAUUCGGAAGAACACCAGUGGCGAAGGCGACUAACUGGACGUGUAUUGACGCUGAGGUACGAAAGCGUGGGGAGCAAACAGGAUUAGAUACCCUGGUAGUCCACGCCGUAAACGAUGAUAACUAGCUGUUCGGUCUCUACGAGACUGAGUGGCGCAGCUACGACAUUAAGUUAUCCGUCCGUCGGGUAGGUACGGUCGCGAAGAAUUAAACUAACAAGAAGUUAGACGGCGUGAGACGUGCCGAACGGACGACGACGAGGGAGGUAGG